RNAcentral lists this ribosomal RNA (699 nucleotides) under uncultured Glomerales. RNAcentral describes it as "LSU rRNA". It matches the Rfam family "Eukaryotic large subunit ribosomal RNA", at positions 38 to 633 of the family's 3401-position model. Lineage: Eukaryota; Fungi; Glomeromycota; Glomeromycetes; Glomerales; Glomeraceae. The record is from RNAcentral.
GCAUAUCAAUAAGCGGAGGAAAAGAAACUAACAAGGAUUCCCUUAGUAACGGCGAGUGAAGAGGGAAGAGCUCAAAUUUUAAAUCUAUCAUGUUGUACAUGAUCGAGUUGUAAUUUGAAGAAGCGUUUUCUCGUACUUUAUGAUCAGUAUAAGUUCUCUUGGAACAGGACAUCAUAGAGGGUGAUAAUCCCGUCUGUUACUGAUUGUGAGGUUCGUUUAUGAUACGCUUUCAAAGAGUCGAGUUGUUUGGGAUUGCAGCUCCAAAUGGGUGGUAAACAUCACCUAAGGCUAAAUAUUUGCGAGAGACCGAUAGCGAACAAGUACCGUGAGGGAAAGAUGAAAAGAACUUUGAAAAGAGAGUUAAAAAGUAUGUGAAAUUGUUGAAAGGGAAACGAUUGAAGUCAGUCGUGCAGUCAUCAAUUCAGCGGUUAACAUUUUAUGUUUCCGUGUAAUUUGGUGUCUGUUGGUUAGCAUCAAUUUUGAUUGUUAUAAAAAGGUUAAGGGGAUGUGGCUCCUUCGGGAGUGUUAUAACCCUUAGCGUAAUGUGACGAUUAGGAUUGAGGUUUGCAACGAAUACCUUUUAGGGCAGUUUCACCUGGCCUCUCGUGGAAUUAUAGAUAGUUAAGAGCAUGCUCUUACUGUUUAUGAUUCUACGAAAAGGUUGGAGUGUAAAACUAAUUCGUUAAGGAUGUUGACGUA